This 692-nucleotide ribosomal RNA is filed under the name uncultured bacterium. RNAcentral's name for it is "bacterial SSU rRNA". It matches the Rfam family "Bacterial small subunit ribosomal RNA", at positions 774 to 1465 of the family's 1533-position model. The record is from RNAcentral.
AGGAUUAGAUACCCUGGUAGUCCACGCCGUAAACGAUGUCUACUUGGAGGUUGUGGCCUUGAGCCGUGGCUUUCGGAGCUAACGCGUUAAGUAGACCGCCUGGGGAGUACGGUCGCAAGAUUAAAACUCAAAUGAAUUGACGGGGGCCCGCACAAGCGGUGGAGCAUGUGGUUUAAUUCGAUGCAACGCGAAGAACCUUACCUACUCUUGACAUCCAGAGAAGCCAGCGGAGACGCAGGUGUGCCUUCGGGAGCUCUGAGACAGGUGCUGCAUGGCUGUCGUCAGCUCGUGUUGUGAAAUGUUGGGUUAAGUCCCGCAACGAGCGCAACCCUUAUCCUUGUUUGCCAGCGAGUAAUGUCGGGAACUCCAGGGAGACUGCCGGUGAUAAACCGGAGGAAGGUGGGGACGACGUCAAGUCAUCAUGGCCCUUACGAGUAGGGCUACACACGUGCUACAAUGGCGCAUACAGAGGGCGGCGAACUUGCGAGAGUGAGCGAAUCCCAAAAAGUGCGUCGUAGUCCGGAUUGGAGUCUGCAACUCGACUCCAUGAAGUCGGAAUCGCUAGUAAUCGUAGAUCAGAAUGCUACGGUGAAUACGUUCCCGGGCCUUGUACACACCGCCCGUCACACCAUGGGAGUGGGCUGCAAAAGAAGUGGGUAGUUUAACCUUCGGGAGGACGCUCACCACUUUGU